UUUCUCUUCUUCUUCUCUCUAUACGUUGGUGUUCUAACCAAUAAUCACCGAUGCGAUGUUCUGUCCGAUCGAUUCAGGAACCAUCUAACGAAUGCCGAAGUGUUGUGCUUUGUGAAUUUUGUUAAACGGAAUCCAAAGUACUAUACUUUGUGAGUUCAUUUAAUGGAUACCAAAGUACUGUCUAAAUAAGACUAUACUUUGUGAAAUUCGUUAAGGUUCGAAUCUCGUGACUACCGUUAAGGUUUGAUUUGGGUUUUACACAAAUACGUAUUCCAUUCUGUUAAACUAUAUGUUUAACUACCGAAAAUACUUCCCACUACACACUCACAAUCAAACAAAGUAUUAAAUCAUCAGAAGAUCCAGAAUAAUAAAGUGCAUGCUUAAUUAUCGGAAGAAGUAGAAUCAAGAAGCUUGUUAACUCAAUCUUGCAUGCUUAUAAAGUAACUACAGUAGAUUGGGGUAAGAAUUGGAUCCAGCACUGAAGGACUUCAAGAAGUGGCUUAUUUUAUUAAAUAAAUCAACUUAAGAAAUAUUGUUUUUGGGUUUAUCCCUUAUUAAAAGUUAUCUUUGUAAAACAUGGAAUUAUUCCAUCUAUUUAAAUAAAAUCCGGUGUUUUCUAAACUCUGAUAUUUUUCCUAACUCACGGUCCUGAUGAAAUUUCCGCUGCAAUGUUUUCAAAAAUAACCACCGGUACCACUGGACUGCUCGCGGCUUCCGAUUCCGGCCAGGAUGGGGUCGGGGGUCGUGACACCUAACUUUCUUAAAAUCCUUGUGUCCCCGGCAACGGCGCCAAAAACUUGAUGCGUGUCAGUGUGUAUAUAAUUUAGAUGUAUAUUUUAAGCCAUUUUUACACUUUUUAGCCAAGUUUUAAAUUUAUAAACACGAUAUUCACUAACACUAAACACUUAUGGGCAAGUGCACCCAUCGUGGACGUAGUAUAGUGUUGGUAAGACACCGAGGUCGUCCAAGGACACAAGAGCUUUUAGUACUGGUUUAUCCUCAACGUCUAAUCAAAUCAAAAUGUUAGAAAAAGAUUUUUAAACUAGAAAAAUAA
Molecule: long non-coding RNA, 1054 nt
Filed under: Helianthus annuus (common sunflower)
Lineage: Eukaryota; Viridiplantae; Streptophyta; Magnoliopsida; Asterales; Asteraceae
Description: hypothetical non coding rna
Source: RNAcentral